This 1480-nucleotide ribosomal RNA is filed under the name uncultured Bordetella sp. Its description in RNAcentral is "partial 16S-23S ribosomal RNA intergenic spacer". It matches the Rfam family "Bacterial small subunit ribosomal RNA". Lineage: Bacteria; Pseudomonadati; Pseudomonadota; Betaproteobacteria; Burkholderiales; Alcaligenaceae. The record is from RNAcentral.
GGUUCGAUUCAUUCAGAUUGAACGCUGGCGGAUGCUUUACACAUGCAAGUCGAACGGCAGCACGGACUUCGGUCUGGUGGCGAGUGGCGAACGGGUGAGUAAUGUAUCGGAACGUGCCUAGUAGCGGGGAUAACUACGCGAAAGCGUAGCCAAUACCGCAUAUUGCCUCGUGCGUUAACCUCUAAAAGUCUGCACUAUUAGGAGCGGCCGAUAAUGGAUUAGCUUAGUUGGUGGGGUAACGUGGCUCACCAAGGCGACGAUCCGUAGCUGGUUUGAGAGGACGACCAGCCACACUGGGACUGAGACGGCCCAGACUCUACGGGAGGCAGCAGUGGGAAUUUGGACAAUGGGGAAACCUGAUCCAGCCAUCCGCGUGUGCGAUGAAGGCCUUCGCUGUGCUAACUUUUGGCAGGAAAGAAACGGCACGGGAUAAUACCCCCGUGCAACUGACGGUACCUGCAGAAUAAGCAACGCUAUUAAACCAGCGUGCCGCGGUCGCAUGGUCACUGUGAAGGUGUUGAACGGAAUUAUCAGCGUAAAGCGUGCGAGUAAAGUGGUUCCGGAAGAAAGAUGAAACCCUUUAUUUUUAACUUUGGAACUGCAUUUUUUAACUACCGAGCUAGAGUGUGUCAGAGGAGGUGGAAUUCGCGUGUAGCAGUGAAAUGCGUAGAUAUGCGGAGGAACACCGAUGGCGAAGGCAGCCUCCUGGGAUAACACCGACGCUCAUGCACGAAAGCGUGGGGAGCAAACAGGAUUAGAUACCCUGGUAGUCCACGCCUCAACGAUGUCAACUGAGCCGCUGGGGCCUCGGGCUUCCGCAGCAGCAGCUAACGCGGUGAAGUUGACCGCCUGGGGAGUACGGUCGCAAGAUUAAAACUCAAAGGAAUUGACGGGGACCCGCACAAGCGGUGUGAUGAUGGGAUUAACGGGAUGAACGCAAAACCUUACCUACCCUUGACAUGUCUGGAAUCCCGGAAGAGAUUUGGGAGUACCGCAAGAGAACCGGAAUCACAGGUGCCAUGCCGCGGUGGCUGUCGUCAGUCAAGGUGUCGUGGAGAGCUGCCGGGCGUCCCGCAUGAGCGCGAAACCUUUAUCAGCGAAGUUGCGCCACGAAAGGGCAGCCUGAAUGAGAUCGGGCGGUGGACAAAACCGAUAGCGGUGGGGAGACGCCAAGUCCAGCGGCCCUUAUGGGUAGGGCUUCACACGUCAUACAAUGGUCGGGACAGAGGGUCGCCAACCCGCGAGGGGGAGCCAAUCCCAGAAACCCGAUCGUAGUCCGGACUGCAGUCUGCAACCGACUGCGUGAAGUCGGAAUCGUUAUAAUCGCGGAUCAGCAUGUCGCGGUGAAUACGUUCCCGGCCCUGCACACACCGCCCGUCACACCAUGGGAGUGGGCUUUACCAGAAGUAGUUAGCCUAACCGUAAGGAGGGCGAUUACCACGGUAGGAUUCAUGACUGGGGUGAAGUCGUAACAAGGUAA